UACGUCAACAUCCUUAACGAAUAUAAUCCGUUCUAACCUUUUGACUGUCAACUUAAAUAACCGUAAGCACGCUUUCGGCACCUAAGCAACCUUCAAAGAUCAGACGGAUAGCCCAAAAGGUAUUCGUUGCAAUCCUCAGUCCCGAUCACCACACCUACCAGAGGCUAUAACACUUCAAUACAAGAUCGAAGCUACAUUCCGCCGGUCAUUUUAUAGCGAUCGAAACUGACAUUGGCCUACCACACGAAAAAGUACACCCAAAAAGCACGAACGUUGCAAACAGCGAGGUGUUAAAACUCACGUAAGCCCACAAGUCCGCACUAAAGAGCUGAUUUUCCGUCGGUACGACUAACUUCAAUCGUUUCCCUUUCAACAAUUUCACGUACUUUUUAACUCUCUUUCCAAAGUUCUUUUCAUCUUUCCCUCACGGUACUUGUUCGCUAUCGGUCUCUCGCCUGUAUUUAGCUUUAGAUGGAAUUUACCACCCAUUUUGAGCUGCAUUCCCAAACAACUCGACUCUUUGAAAGUGUAUCACAGAGCACCGGGAGUCCGUGUCAUGGACGGGAUUCUCACCCUCUAUGACGCCCUGUUCCAAGGGACUUGUACACGGUCCGGCGCGGAAAACACCUCUCUAGAUUACAACUCGGACGGCCGUAGACCAUCAGAUUUUAAAUUUGAGCUCUUCCCGCUUCACUCGCCGUUACUAGGGGAAUCCUUGUUAGUUUCUUUUCCUCCGCUUAUUGAUAUCG
RNAcentral lists this ribosomal RNA (749 nucleotides) under uncultured Glomus. Its description in RNAcentral is "partial 28S ribosomal RNA". Lineage: Eukaryota; Fungi; Glomeromycota; Glomeromycetes; Glomerales; Glomeraceae. The record is from RNAcentral.